This 860-nucleotide ribosomal RNA is filed under the name Oceanobacillus sp. SQ10-13C. RNAcentral describes it as "bacterial SSU rRNA". It matches the Rfam family "Bacterial small subunit ribosomal RNA", at positions 66 to 900 of the family's 1533-position model. The record is from RNAcentral. Lineage: Bacteria; Bacillati; Bacillota; Bacilli; Caryophanales; Bacillaceae.
GUUAUCUGAUCCUCUUUUAGAGGUGACGAUAAUGGAAUGAGCGGCGGACGGGUGAGUAACACGUAGGCAACCUGCCUGUAAGACUGGGAUAACUCGUGGAAACGCGAGCUAAUACCGGAUAACACUUUUCAUCUCCUGAUGAGAAGUUGAAAGGCGGCUUUUGCUGUCACUUACAGAUGGGCCUGCGGCGCAUUAGCUAGUUGGUAAGGUAAUGGCUUACCAAGGCGACGAUGCGUAGCCGACCUGAGAGGGUGAUCGGCCACACUGGGACUGAGACACGGCCCAGACUCCUACGGGAGGCAGCAGUAGGGAAUCUUCCGCAAUGGACGAAAGUCUGACGGAGCAACGCCGCGUGAGUGAUGAAGGUUUUCGGAUCGUAAAACUCUGUUGUUAGGGAAGAACAAGUGCCAUAGUAACUGAUGGCACCUUGACGGUACCUAACCAGAAAGCCACGGCUAACUACGUGCCAGCAGCCGCGGUAAUACGUAGGUGGCAAGCGUUGUCCGGAAUUAUUGGGCGUAAAGCGCUCGCAGGCGGUUCUUUAAGUCUGAUGUGAAAUCUUACGGCUCAACCGUAAACGUGCAUUGGAAACUGGGGAACUUGAGUGCAGAAGAGGAGAGUGGAAUUCCACGUGUAGCGGUGAAAUGCGUAGAGAUGUGGAGGAACACCAGUGGCGAAGGCGACUCUCUGGUCUGUAACUGACGCUGAGGAGCGAAAGCGUGGGGAGCGAACAGGAUUAGAUACCCUGGUAGUCCACGCCGUAAACGAUGAGUGCUAGGUGUUAGGGGGUUUCCGCCCCUUAGUGCUGAAGUUAACGCAUUAAGCACUCCGCCUGGGGAGUACGGCCGCAAGGCUGAAAC